UAGAUCGAUCAUCGACCAUGCAUGCAUGCACCGUGCCGUGCGUGCAUCAUCGAUCAUAUCGAUCUACUACUACCUUACCAUGUAACCGCAACCUGAUCGAGGGCCUUUAUGUACGCACCUGACCUGCAUCAGCAGUCAGGUGCCAUGCCAUGAUUGUAAACAGGCCCCCCUAAAUAAAAUCUCCCCUGAUUAACUAUACAUGUGUCGUCUGUGGUAUGCAUAUAUCAUCACCUUCUUUUUCUUCUUCCUCAUGGCACAAAAAACACUGCCUAAGAGUUGAGAGCGCUGAGUAUAUUACUAGAAAUGAUCAUAAGCAAAAGAUUU
Molecule: long non-coding RNA, 324 nt
Filed under: Triticum aestivum (bread wheat)
Lineage: Eukaryota; Viridiplantae; Streptophyta; Magnoliopsida; Poales; Poaceae
Description: long non-coding RNA (TAES_LNC028288)
Source: RNAcentral